RNAcentral lists this ribosomal RNA (461 nucleotides) under uncultured bacterium. Its description in RNAcentral is "bacterial LSU rRNA". It matches the Rfam family "Bacterial large subunit ribosomal RNA", at positions 13 to 516 of the family's 2925-position model. The record is from RNAcentral.
AAGUGCAUGUGGUGGAUGCCUUGGCGAUCACAGGCGAUGAAGGACGUGCGAGCCUGCGAAAAGCUCCGGGGAGCUGGCAACGAAGCUUUGAUCCGGAGAUGUCCGAAUGGGGAAACCCACCCUUCGGGGUAUCCUGGCCUGAAUACAUAGGGCCAGAGAAGCGAACCGGGUGAACUGAAACAUCUCAGUAGCUCGAGGAAAAGAAAUCAACCGAGAUUCCCAAAAGUAGUGGCGAGCGAAAUGGGACAAGCCUGCACGAUUUAGCAGAACGGUUAAGAGAACGGAUUGGAAACUCCGGCCAUAGAGGGUGAUAGCCCCGUAUUUGAAAACCGAUUUGUGGAACUAGGCGUGCGACAAGUAGGCGGGACACGUGUAAUCCUGUCUGAAGAUGGGGGACCGAUCCUCCAAGGCUAAAUACUCGUGAUCGACCGAUAGUGAACCAGUACCGUGAGGGAAAGGCG